GGCUUGGCUAGACCGCGUAUAUGGGAAAAAGAAACACGGGGCAGCUUCCAAAACUCACAGAAAUGCUCGGAUUACGCGUUGGGCAAGAAAAAUCCCAAAGAUCUCGGGGUUGGUUCCAACCAGCUCGAGUCCUGCAUGAGCCCGUUGAGAGGACGAAGGAAAGGAGGGAGGAAAACGCUGACGAUUGGGUCCCAUCAGCCAUUGACCGGUGGCGCGGGACCGGACUGUCAGUCAGAGGAAAGGAGGAGAGGGGAGAGCGCAUGCGACCUGGGCCCUAGGCCGUCCUGCUGGGCUGGUCCGAGGGAGAAGAAUAGGGGAGUGAGGAGAGGGCCUUCAGCCAAAAGCAGUGGAGGGAGAGUUUUCGUUUUUUCUUUUGUUUUUUUCUUUAAUUCAAAAGCUAUUCCAAAACCAUUUUAAAAUCUAUUUGAAAUAUUUUUGAACUUUAGUCAAACCACUCAUGUCAACAAAAUUAAUGCACAAGCAUGAAUGCACAACAAGUUGCUAAGCCUUAUGAUAAAUUUUAUUUUAAAGAAAAUAUUAUUUUCCUAUAUUUUCAUGAGGACAA
This 565-nucleotide long non-coding RNA is filed under the name Sorghum bicolor (sorghum). Its description in RNAcentral is "long non-coding RNA (SBIC_LNC013007)". The record is from RNAcentral. Lineage: Eukaryota; Viridiplantae; Streptophyta; Magnoliopsida; Poales; Poaceae.